UACAGAGGUCUCAAGCGUUGUUCGGAUUCAUUGGGCGUAAGGGGUGCGUAGGUGGCGCCGUAAGUCAGGUGUGAAAUUUCGGAGCUUAACUCCGAAACUGCAUUUGAUACUGCGGUGCUUGAGGACUGGAGAGGAGACUGGAAUUUACGGUGUAGCAGUGAAAUGCGUAGAGAUCGUAAGGAAGACCAGUGGCGAAGGCGGGUCUCUGGACAGUUCCUGACACUGAGGCACGAAGGCCAGGGGAGCAAACGGG
This 253-nucleotide ribosomal RNA is filed under the name uncultured bacterium. Its description in RNAcentral is "partial 16S ribosomal RNA". It matches the Rfam family "Bacterial small subunit ribosomal RNA", at positions 524 to 776 of the family's 1533-position model. The record is from RNAcentral.